CACCUUUACAUAAAUCUAAUAUUUCAAGAUAUUUUAAUGGUUGACAGACCAAUUGAAGAAAAGCUGUAAAUUUGAUAAAAUUUGUGACAGAGUGUUCUUCUUCAAGAUGACUUCAGAGAAUAUUUGUAUGUCUGUUCAAAGUAUAUACAGUUUUACAUUUGUUCAUUGGGUAGUCAACAAGAUUGAGAUCAGUAAAUCACAUAUAAACCAUUAUUCCAUGCAUUUUUGAGGGUGCUCUGAAUGUAGUAAUCAAAUAUGUUCCUCAUUUUGUCAUAUCUGUACUUUCUAGUUAUUUUCAGAUUGUUGAGAAAUGAUUUUAUAUGACAUGCUUUCUUCAAAAUGAUAGAUUAAAAUAUUUAUUUAUGUAUGUCUUUUAGAUGAAGAAUGGUUAGGACACUUCUUAGUAUUGCACAUGAAUUGGUCCCUUUCACUAGAUUAUUACUUUGGGGCAAAUUUUUUACUAUUAUUUUUAAAAAGAGUAAUUUAUUUUAAUCCAACCUUUCUAGAUAUUUAGAUAUUAUUGAAAUGCAUAUUUUUAUAAAGUUGUCUUUAUGAGAAUUCUUAAGCUAGAAACAUCUUCUGCCAAUGAAAUUUUUGGGAGCUUUCCUGGACAUCACUGGGUGGUAAUAAAGAGACCAUGUUUUCAUUGCUCUGUAUAUAAUAGUAAAACUUUUGUUUUUGUAACACUCCAUCUUAAUAGAAUGGGAAUAUUUUAUCUUGCUAACAUAAUUAUUAGCUGGCCACUCUCUAUGUCCAUUGGACCUUACAGGAGGAAGGCAGAGAGAAGUGCAUGUUUGAAGUUUGUGCACGUUAACACAUGAAGGACUUGGUAACAUCCAUUUUUCCCAGUCUGCACAGAGCAGGCGAUACUCAUGCUUCAUAAAUGAUUUGUUAAGCUAGAUUCUUUCUCUGUGUGUAUGGUGUAUAUGUACAUAUAGGUGCAUCUAUAUAUGUACAUGCAUUUUUUUUCUUAAAAUAUUAUGUUUCCUCUUUUUUUUUCUGCCCUUGACUAAACUCAAAUAUCAGCUCCAGAGAAUGAGCUGACAACUUAUUUCCCAAUCAGUGGUUCUCAAUUCCUACCUAUGGUAUCUCGGAUACUUUUGCAGAUAUGAAUGUAUAUGGGCAAGGAACUUCAUAUUUAUAAGAAAUUAGGCCUAGGAUGGAUAGGAGUUGAUAGAUCUUGCUCUUCUUAAGUUUGAUGACAUUUGUUUUCAGCUAAACAGCAUUCAAAACUCAUCCCAAUUAUCAGAUGAGUGUGAGUAUUGUAAUGGUGAAUUAACAGCUGACUGAUCAUAGCAGGUCUUCCUAAAUGGGGGAUCUGUCCUCCACAAUCCCAUCUCAAAACUGAAUCUGAUUCUAUGAGACCAUUAUGUCUCAGCUUUUUAUUUGAGUGAUUGAUUCAUCCAAUGGACUUUUAAUUUCCUGUGGCCAGAUAUUUUUCAGUUCAUUUUUUGUGGCACAAGCACCUUGUGGAUUGCCUAUCAUAGAAUAGGUUCCUAGUAAACUUUUAUAGAGAUAAGAUAUAUGAGGAGAUUAUUUUGAGUGAUUUUUGUGAGUAACCUGGCCAACUAAGCAGCAGAAGAUAAAUAAUUUUUAAUGAGCAAGAGACAUAAUUUUCAGUGGGAUUCAGGCAGUUUAGUCAGGUUUGGAAGUGCACAAGAGAGAAGGGUGCUGAUAUGCAGAUAUUGAAAUGCAUAGUUAUGGAACAGAUAGUUACAGUUUCAGAGCUGGGUGAGUAAGGGGCAGCUUCCAACUUAAAUCAAUAUGAAAGAAUAGUAAAGAGAGAAUUCCCAGAUUCUAGCUGCAUUGCCUUUUUCAUUGGAAGUGGUGUUUCUCAUUUUUUUUUUUUUUACCUCAGAAGAUAAUUUCCUGGGAGUGAAUGAUACCAGUAAAUCCCUGAAACAAGUCCCUCAGACAAAGAGCCUCUUCACCUACAUAUUUUCCAAGAGUCACCCCUGAAGGUGAUGACCACACAGAUGAGGUGGAUUUGUUACAGUUGGUGCCAUUACUUCUACCACCAGCUUCACCAAAACAAUGACACAGUCUUCCUUGUGCAUGGAGAUUCUUCUCUUUCCUGUGUUGCAGUGGAUACCUCCUGCAGAUAAGAAAUGCUUAACUGAGAAAUGCUCAUGUUGGGAUAUCAUCGAUGAGACUUUAAUUUGGGCGUGGUGACUGUUUCCCUUGCUGCCACUUGACUCAAUCCCAGGAGCCUCAGUAGAGGAAAUAAUAUUACACAAGAUGCUCAAAAUGGUAGAAUUGCUCAGUGCUCCCAUAAAUAUACAUUAGUAAUUUUCAUUUGUCACAUGGUAAAUUUAAAAGUAUAGGAUACAUUAUAAAGAAACACUGCAUCUUUUUUUAAAAAAAAUUCAAAGUAUAUUUAAAUAACUAAUAUAUAAAUUAAGUGCCCUCCUCUAUUCCAAUUCUGUCCCUAUAGUUUUCCUCUAUUAAGGGAGUUAUGUGCAUUCUUUUAUCAGAUAGAUGCACACAAACAAUGCACAAGCUAUUUUGGGGGGAAUCUGGAAGUGUGGCCAUAUUGUAACGCAUUCUUCUGCAAAUUGCCUCUUUCAUUUAACAGUCUUUUCAAUGGCCUUUUUUUCAGUAAUAUAUACACAUCUGUGUCCUUUGUUGAAUGAUGGCAUGACUGUUUUGUAGAUAAAAUAUAAUUAAAUGUUUUAAGCAUUUCUCAUUCAUAGAUAUUUAUGUUAGCACCAAAUUUCUGUGCAGUGAACCUCCCUAUAUAUCAAUAAUUUUGCAUUUGUCUAUUAUAUAACAAAUUACUUAGAAGUU
Long non-coding RNA from Lemur catta (Ring-tailed lemur), 2787 nucleotides. RefSeq lists it as uncharacterized. Lineage: Eukaryota; Metazoa; Chordata; Mammalia; Primates; Lemuridae. The record is from RefSeq and is a predicted model, not a curated record. The transcript has 2 exons.